GAUGAACGCUGGCGGCGUGCUUAACACAUGCAAGUCGAACGAUGAAGCCCAGCUUGCUGGGUGGAUUAGUGGCGAACGGGUGAGUAACACGUGAGUAACCUGCCCUUGACUCUAGGAUAAGCCCGGGAAACUGGGUCUAAUACUGGAUAGGAACGUCUACCGCAUGGAGGGUGUUGGAAAGAAUUUCGGUCAUGGAUGGACUCGCGGCCUAUCAGCUUGUUGGUGAGGUAAUGGCUCACCAAGGCGACGACGGGUAGCCGGCCUGAGAGGGUGACCGGCCACACUGGGACUGAGACACGGCCCAGACUCCUACGGGAGGCAGCAGUGGGGAAUAUUGCACAAUGGGCGAAAGCCUGAUGCAGCGACGCCGCGUGAGGGAUGACGGCCUUCGGGUUGUAAACCUCUUUCAGUAGGGAAGAAGCGAAAGUGACGGUACCUGCAGAAGAAGCACCGGCUAACUACGUG
This 465-nucleotide ribosomal RNA is filed under the name uncultured bacterium. Its description in RNAcentral is "partial 16S ribosomal RNA". It matches the Rfam family "Bacterial small subunit ribosomal RNA", at positions 28 to 507 of the family's 1533-position model. The record is from RNAcentral.